GCACAAAGAGUUCUAAUAGUCCUUGAACUCAAGUCUGUGCUUUCGUUGCGUCAUUCAUACCAGGACUCAGUGAUAUAGAUCCCAACAACUUUAUGAUUCUACACUGACAUGGAGAGGAAAUGGUUGGGCCAAGGUCUCUGACCUGACAAUUGUGACAAUGGGAAGUGUGACCACAGGCGUCCGUUCCCCCGGAAAAGCACGAUGACGGCUCCUAUCCAUAUAAACGGCACUGACGAGAGGAGCAGAACAGGGACAUCCACAGCCAUGCAUCUGGACUGCUCCUACCAUAAAUGGGACAACUCAGAGCAGCGCAUCUGGGAGAGGCGGUAAAGCCCCUGCCUGCCCUGACAGAGAUAAGGAACCUAACGCACAGUAUGUCGAAGGAGCUGGCUGAGGUGAGAAGGGACCAUGACAGACUCCAGAAGGUCUUGAGCAGGGUGCAGGAUGAGUUACAGGACACCACAGAUAAGUGGAGAAGGCGACAGUCAUCCUGCUCCCUACUGUUAUCUGAUGGUCUGGAGCAGACACCAACUAAUACCAAUUAAUACCCGAGCUUGUGCUUUACCUGUUAGGACAUUGAAUUCUUGUGGAUCAGUGACUUGGAAACAGGAAAGCUGCUGAUCCCAAACCAGGGCUGAUGGAGGCGAUUGCUAAGUUCAGAUUCUAAUAUCCUCAUUUCUCAUCUUGUCCUGCCGCUUGAUAUG
Mauremys reevesii (Reeves's turtle) is the source of this 704-nucleotide long non-coding RNA. RefSeq lists it as uncharacterized. The record is from RefSeq and is a predicted model, not a curated record. NCBI's taxonomy places the organism in Eukaryota, Metazoa, Chordata, Testudines, Geoemydidae. The transcript is spliced from 4 exons.